This 421-nucleotide ribosomal RNA is filed under the name uncultured fungus. RNAcentral's name for it is "eukaryotic LSU rRNA". It matches the Rfam family "Eukaryotic large subunit ribosomal RNA", at positions 1 to 422 of the family's 3401-position model. The record is from RNAcentral. Lineage: Eukaryota; Fungi.
GACCUCGGAUCAGGUAGGAAUACCCGCUGAACUUAAGCAUAUCAAUAAGCGGAGGAAAAGAAACCAACAGGGAUUGCCUCAGUAACGGCGAGUGAAGCGGCAAAAGCUCAAAUUUGAAAUCUGACCCUUCGGGUCCGAGUUGUAAUUUGCAGAGGAUGUUUCGGGUAAGAUUUAGGUCUAAGUUCCUUGGAACAGGACGUCAUAGAGGGUGAGAAUCCCGUACGUGACCGUUGAUCGCACCCAUGUGAAACUCCUUCGACGAGUCGAGUUGUUUGGGAAUGCAGCUCAAAAUGGGUGGUAAAUUUCAUCUAAAGCUAAAUAUUGGCCAGAGACCGAUAGCGCACAAGUAGAGUGAUCGAAAGAUGAAAAGCACUUUGAAAAGAGAGUUAAACAGUAUGUGAAAUUGUUGAGAGGGAAGCGC